This 481-nucleotide ribosomal RNA is filed under the name uncultured bacterium. RNAcentral describes it as "partial 16S ribosomal RNA". It matches the Rfam family "Bacterial small subunit ribosomal RNA", at positions 28 to 507 of the family's 1533-position model. The record is from RNAcentral.
GAUGAACGCUGGCGGCGUGCUUAACACAUGCAAGUCGAACGAAGCACUUUAUUUGAUUUCCUUCUGGCCUGAUUAUUUUGUGACUGAGUGGCGGACGGGUGAGUAACGCGUGGGUAACCUGCCUUUUACAGGGGGAUAACAUUUGGAAACGUCUGCUAAUACAGCAUAAGCGCCCAGCAUCGCAUGAUGCAGUGUGAAAAACUCCGGUGGUAUAAGCUGGACCCUCGUUGGAUUAGCUAGUUGGUGAGUUAACGGCCCACCAAGGCGACGAUCCAUAGCCGAGCUGAGAGGGUGACCGGCGACAUUGGGAGUGAGACACGGCCCAAACUCCUACGGGAGGCAGCAGUGCGGAAUAUUGCACCAUGGGCGAAAGCCUGAUGCAGCGACGCCGCGUGAGCGAAGAAGUAUGUCGGGAUGUAAAGCUCUAUCAGCAGGGAAGAUAAUGACGGUACCUGACUAAGAAGCACCGGCUAAAUACGUG